Sus scrofa (pig) is the source of this 5307-nucleotide non-coding RNA. The record is from RefSeq and is a predicted model, not a curated record. Lineage: Eukaryota; Metazoa; Chordata; Mammalia; Artiodactyla; Suidae.
CGGGUUCAGCCCUAGAAAAGACAAAAAGACAAAAAAUAAAAUAAAAUAAAAAAUAGAACAGAAGGCGAGCUUAGCACCCUGCCGCGGCUCCAGGUACACACAGCAAACCUGCAUGCUCACAGUCAGGGUAUCAUUCCCUUACACAUUCCGCACAUGCAGGCACACGCAGACACACGCAGGCACACGACUCUGUGGACUGAGUACCCAAAGCACUCGGCACAGAGCCCGGCACACAGAAGGUGCUCAGUAAAUGUCGGUCGUUUCGAGGAGGCUGCCCGUUUCACAGCCCAACACCCAGCAGCAGAUGCGUGGUGGGGGCCUCCAGCCCCUGGGAUCCUGCCAGCUCCUCCUUAAGACUCUGCGGAGGGGUCACCUCCACUGAGAAGCCCUCCUCCCAGCCCCACGCAGACCAGCCUCACCCAGUGGAACACUCGCAGCAAGUUUCUCUGGGAGGCCGGGAGGCUGUGAAGCCCUGGGUUGGGAGCAGGCGCUGGGGCAGGGCGGAGUGUUGGUGGUGCGGCUAAGGGAGCAGCUCUCCAGCACUCCCUGGGGACCAGGAAGCUCCCUGCGUCCGGAGCCCAUCUUGACAAAUACUUAGGCGGAUCCAAUUGCCUCUGCUCCAACCAGUUCCACCCACCCACGCCCCUUGUGUGGCAGGAGGAAGAGAGUGAGCAGGACUUUUGCCCCCUGCCUGCUCCUCCAGCUUCCAGUUCAGAUCCUACAGUGUCUCCCAGCAACAUCUGCCCAGGAUGCGGGAAGCCGGGGCCCCCAGGGGCCAGGGCCAGUCCCCCAGAGGGACGCGUGCUCUGAGCCAGCCCCAGAUCAUCCUGCUCACCUACGUCCUCUCGGCCCUGGAGCUCACCUGCCUCUUCAUGCAUUUCUCCGUCCUGCCUUACCUGUCCCGGAGGCUGGGUCUGGAUUCUGUCGCCUUUGGCUACCAGCAGACUCUGUUUGGCGUGCUUCAGCUGCUGGGCGGGCCCGUGUUUGGCAGGUUCGCAGACCAGCGCGGGGCGCGGGCAGCCUUCACACUCUCCUUCCUGGCAUCCUCUGGGCUCUACCUGCUCCUGGCGGCUGCCUGCAGCCCGGCCCUGCCCGGCGUGACCUUACUCUUUGCCUCGCGCCUGCCAGGGGCACUCAUGCACACGCUGCCAGCUGCCCAAAUGGUCCUUGCGGACCUGUCUGCGCCUGAGGAGCGGCCCACGGCCCUCAGCCGGCUCGGCCUGUGCUUCGGGGUCGGUGUCAUCUUCGGCUCUCUUCUCGGCGGGACCCUAAGCAGCUCGUGCGGGAUUCAGUGUCCGGUCAUUGUGGCUCUUGUGGUCAGCCUCCUGGGAGCCGUCCUCAGCUUCACCUGCAUCCCCACCAACACCAAAGGCGCCAGCGACCACGCCCAGCCUGUCCCACCAGGCAGGACCAAGGCCAGCGUGUUUGACCUGAAGGCCAUCAGCCGCCUGCUGCUGCAGCCCGGCGUCCUGCCGGUGUUUCUCGUCAAGGUCAUUUCCGGCUUCCCCUCAGGGCUCUUCACUGUCAUGUUCUCUAUUAUAUCCAUGGACUUCUUCCAACUGGAGGCCGCCCAGGCCAGCUACCUCAUGUCCUUCUUCGGGGUCCUCCAGAUGGUGAGUGGGUGCUGGGCGCAUGGGGGCGGGGGCCCCCGCCCUCCCAGCCUCCCCCACGUGGCGGGCCUGUGUCAGGGGCCCAGGCCGGGCACCUGCCGGACUCGGUUCCCCAGGAGCACGCGUGCCGGACGCACCCCCCACCCCAGGAACACCUUAGCUCAGGCCAGACUCCUCUCCCUGCUCGUGGCUCCCAUGCCUGGGUCUGCGCCCAGGUCCCCCCCCGCCACCCCCGUCUGCUGGAGGCCCUGUCCGGGGUGGGAGGAGGCUGGGACCCCCGGCCUCCAUCCAGAAGCAGUCGGAGGCCCCCGGUCCGCCCCGUGUACAUCUGGGCUCCGGCCGUGGGCGGGACGGAGAGGGGAGCAGACCCCGGGUGGGGGGCAUGUUACGGGGAGAAUGGCCAGGCUCUGUGCCACUGGGCGUGUGACCGUGGCGGGGACAGGUGGCGACGUGCCGCCGCCACCCGGGACGUCUGCCUGACAGCCGGAGCGCAGGAGGAGCUAUUCUGGGAUCUGCUGGAGCGGCCGAGAGGGCUCCGGGCUUCUCCGGAAGCGGGUGGCAUUCCCGGCUCCUCCAGGCCAUCUGCUCCCUGUGCCUCUCGGCCCAGGACCCGUCCAGGCCCUGGUACUAAAAUAGCCACUGCGGGGAGGGGUCAGCCCCCACCCCACGGGGGGCCCUCGCUCUGAGGACCGGGAAGGGCCACCCUGGUGGGGAAGAAAAGAGAUAAACAGAAAACAGCAACAACAGCGAUAAGACGCUGAAGUCGGAGGCCAGCAGAGCCCUGUUCUAAAUGGCUACUCCCAGCUGACGGGUCCAGGCCACCAGCCCAAGCUUGUCCUGGGCCCUCUGCACGCAGGAGACUCCUCCAGACGCUCGGGGACAGACCUGGGUGGGCCUGCCCUGGACGGGCUUGGGCUCCAGCAGCUGGCACGAUGGUGACAGAUGUGGCGGGAUGCAGGAGAGAGCCACGGCGGGCAAGGCCUGGGGACCGCAGCACGGGCUGGGCCGGCGGAGGAGCCUGGGGAGGGCAGGAAUCCAUAGAGCGGGGUGGGGUGCUGGACCCCGGGCCCCAAGUUCCGUGAGGGAAGAAGGGGGCAGCCGAGGCCCUGAGCUGUGUCUGGACCCCCCUGGGGAGGGGCAGGUUGGCGGCUGGGUUCUGUGUCACGGGGAGAGCCCUGAGCCGGCCUCGUCGGGUGCUCCCCACCCCCGCCAGGGUGGCCGGUCUGCGGGGUGACUCCUGCCUCCCCCACAGCUGGGCUCCACCUGCUGCUUCCAUCGCAAACCGUUCCCUGCCCCCCCCCGCCGAGGUGCUGGGUGCAGCCUGAUCCCAAGGAGGACCCAACGUCCCCCUCCCCAGCUCCCUUGAGGGGGUUGUUGGGUUGGGGUCUCAGCGGAUGGCAGCCCAGGUGGCCCUAACACGAGGGGACCCUCCCGGUGGUGGGCCUGCAGCCCUCGCUCCCUCCUGCGGUGAGAGCUCCCCUCGGCCUUCAUCUGCGCCCCAGCAGGGUGCGGCCGCCGUGAUGGGGCGCUCCCGUCUUCCGGGGGGAGACAGAGGUGAGCCCCCACCCAGCAGCUGACCCGUCAGGGGGGACAAGGACUCAGGAAGGAGGAUCAGGGCCCUUGGCGGGGCCGAGAUGCUGCUGCAGAUGGAGAGGCCUGGAGUGGGAGAACCACAGGGCAGGGAAGGGCCGCAGGUGCAAAGGCCCUGGGGUGGCUGGGCCGGCCUGAGGGGAAAGGAAGGGGCUCUGAAGACGUGUGGGGGGUGGUCUGCAGGGCCAGGAAGGACCCGGGUUUACUCACAUCCACUCAUAAACGGAUGUGGCCCUACCAGCCCCCACGGCCCCCACCUGGCUGCGUCAUAGCUGAGGUGGGCUUGGAACUGGCUGCUUGGGGCCAGUGUGACCUCAGAGGCAGGUGGUGGCGGCUGGGCCAGGGCCAGGGCGGUGGGGAGUGGGGCCGGUGACCCGACACGGUCUCCGGGGGGAGGCUUGGGAGAGAGUGCGACGUCUGGUGAGUUUGUCUCUGUGGUUUCAAGGAAUAACCCAGACGCACAGGAGUUGAGGCUGUUUGUAAGCCGGGUCCUGGUCCCAGGGUCUGUCUGAAAAGCCACGGGAGGUUUCAGCCUCCUCCUGGGCUGGUGCUUCUCGCUCAGGAAGAGAAACUUGCCAAGGGGAGACCUUCCCUUUAAACAAACAGCCGAGAUAAAGCAAAGGCGAGAGUCGGAGUUUUUGCCUCAGAGAGGGCGUCUCGGGUUCCGGUUUGAAAGAGUUUCAUGAUGCCAGGCCGGCCGGGAGAACAGUGAUCCAUCGGGCUCCCCGGGCUGGGCCCACCCCAGGUCACAGCCCAGCCAGGCACUGGGCACUGACCCCUGGCCCCCGUGGGCGCUGCUCCAACCCACUGAGCCCCGGGCACUUCCUGCCUGCGGAGGAGGCCAGGGGACCAGAUAGCGAGCCUCACCCUGGCCUGGGAACAGCCUGAGGGCUGGCCUUGCCCUCUGAGUCACAUCCCCUGUGUCCCGGGUGUCCCUGCUCCCAGCCCCUCCUCCCACCAUCACCGAGAGGAGCCGAGGGCAGGAAGGCGAGCCCCAGCCUGACUCUGGCUCCUGGCGGCUGACCCUGGGGAGGGCCAGGAGGGCACCGCCAGGAGAGGAGCGAGGGUGGGGGCUCCUCGGGGAGCCUGGCUGCCCCCUCGUCGGGGGCCCCAGCACCCCAGCUCCACCCCAGCUCCGCACCCCCGCCAGCUCUGGGACCUCGGGCAGGGACACCAGCCCUGGGCCUCAGGUCACUUCCGUCCCUGGGGUGGCAGCCUCCUGGGUGGGGGAGGACACAGGGCUCCUGCCUGCUGCCGGGGACCCUGCUGCCGGGGACCCGGCCCUGUGAUGAAAAUCUGUUUAUCGCGCCGGCAACUGCAGAGAUGAGCUUAGUUUUGAAUGUGGAACUAGGACCUCUGAGCAGCUGGCUUGGGGCGGGGGGUGUCUGUAUGUGUAUGUGUCUGUGCGUGUGCUCUUGUGGGGGGGUGCCUAUGUGUGCAUCCACGAGUGUGUGUGUCUGCGUGUGUGUGAGGUGCCCAGGCUGCCUGCCCCAUCUCCCCAGGGACCUCGGGGCCGUUGUGGGUACUGCAGGCCCACCCUUCCGCCCUGUGCCUGGUCACUGCGGGGCACAGCGGCAGGGCCCCGGGGGCUACAGAUGGUGGGGGAGGCACCGCAGCCGCCACAGCCCAGAGCCCCUCUCCCCCGUCCCCAGGUCAUCCAGGGCCUGGUCAUCGGGCGGCUGAGCAGCCACUUCUCCGAGGGAGCCCUGCUCCGGGCCAGCGUGCUGGUCUUCAGCCUGGUGGGAUUGGCCAUGGCACUGAUGACCCAUGUCUUCCACUUCUGCCUCCUGAUGCCCGGCCUGGUCUUCAGCCUGUGUACCCUCAACGUGGUCACCGACAGCCUGCUGACCAAGGCCGUGUCGGCCUCAGACACCGGGACCAUGUUGGGCCUCUGUGCCUCCGUGCAGCCGCUGAUGCGAACGCUAGGGCCCACCCUGGGCGGCCUCCUGUACCGCAGCUUUGGAGUCCCUGCCUUUGGCCACGUGCAGUUUGCGGUCAACUUCCUUCUCCUCCUGGUCCUCUGGAGGCAGCCCAUACCCCGGAAGACAGACAAAGCCCCAUGACCGCAGCCCCCAGGCACCGACUGGCAAUAAACUCCAUCAGAACC